This 240-nucleotide ribosomal RNA is filed under the name uncultured soil bacterium. RNAcentral describes it as "partial 16S ribosomal RNA". It matches the Rfam family "Bacterial small subunit ribosomal RNA", at positions 26 to 266 of the family's 1533-position model. The record is from RNAcentral.
AGAUUGAACGCUGGCGGCAGGCCUAACACAUGCAAGUCGAGCGGCAGCACGGGUACUUGUACCUGGUGGCGAGCGGCGGACGGGUGAGUAAUGCCUAGGAAUCUGCCUGGUAGUGGGGGAUAACGCUCGGAAACGGACGCUAAUACCGCAUACGUCCUACGGGAGAAAGCAGGGGACCUUCGGGCCUUGCGCUAUCAGAUGAGCCUAGGUCGGAUUAGCUAGUUGGUGAGGUAAUGGCUC